GACGAACGCUGGCGGCGUGCUUAACACAUGCAAGUCGAACGAAGAGCGAUGGAAGCUUGCUUCUAUCAAUCUUAGUGGCGAACGGGUGAGUAACGCGUAAUCAACCUGCCCUUCAGAGGGGGACAACAGUUGGAAACGACUGCUAAUACCGCAUACGAUCUAAUCUCGGCAUCGAGGAUAGAUGAAAGGUGGCCUCUACAUGUAAGCUAUCACUGAAGGAGGGGAUUGCGUCUGAUUAGCUAGUUGGAGGGGUAACGGCCCACCAAGGCGAUGAUCAGUAGCCGGUCUGAGAGGAUGAACGGCCACAUUGGGAAUGAGACACGGCCCAGACUCCUACGGGAGGCAGCCGGGGGGAAUCUUCCGCAAUGGACGAAAGUCUGACGGAGCAACGCCGCGGGAGGGAUGACGGCCUUCGGGUUGUAAAGCUCUGUUAAUCGGGACGAAAGGCCUUCUUGCGAAUAGUGAGAAGGAUUGACGGUACCGGAAUAGAAAGCCACGGCUAACUACGUG
RNAcentral lists this ribosomal RNA (510 nucleotides) under uncultured bacterium. RNAcentral describes it as "partial 16S ribosomal RNA". It matches the Rfam family "Bacterial small subunit ribosomal RNA", at positions 28 to 507 of the family's 1533-position model. The record is from RNAcentral.